UACGUAGGGUGCAAGCGUUAUCCGGAUUCAUUGGGCGUAAAGGGUGCGUAGGUGGCGCGCUAAGUCGGGUGUGAAAUUUCGGAGCUUAACUCCGAAACUGCAUUCGAUACUGGCGUGCUUGAGGACUGGAGAGGAGACUGGAAUUCAUGGUGUAGCAGUGAAAUGCGUAGAGAUCAUGAGGAAGACCAGUGGCGAAGGCGGGUCUCUGGACAGUUCCUGACACUGAGACACGAAGGCCAGGGGAGCAAACGGG
This 253-nucleotide ribosomal RNA is filed under the name uncultured bacterium. Its description in RNAcentral is "partial 16S ribosomal RNA". It matches the Rfam family "Bacterial small subunit ribosomal RNA", at positions 524 to 776 of the family's 1533-position model. The record is from RNAcentral.